GAAGCAGUCUUACUGGUGUCUUGUAUAAUGCCACAAAAACUACCCACUUUCUCCUGGAAAUACUUCAGCAAAUUCACCUUAUGAUCGUAUUUGCCUCUCUCACAGAAGGAAAAGGUAAGAAGCAGUGCUCUUGUCCUUAGUAUUGUGUGAAGAUCCAGCACUGGAAAACUGCCUAUGUGUUGUGAACAUUACUGAUGAUCCCAGAAUGCGGAGAUGGUCCAGCAUGGUGAUGGUGCAGUGUUGGUCAUCCCAGGAUGUCACAGUGGAACCAGACAACCCAAAGCAAAGUCCACCAAGAAGCCCACAGUGGGCAGCAGGCUUUUCUGUUUGCAGAGACAUCUACCUUCAGUUGACCAGAUGAACUGGGUCCUGGCCCAUGGAUAACACAAGACACAGCAUUCAAGGACAGGUUGUC
Molecule: long non-coding RNA, 415 nt
Organism: Myiozetetes cayanensis
Lineage: Eukaryota; Metazoa; Chordata; Aves; Passeriformes; Tyrannidae
Exons: 4
Source: RefSeq, a predicted model, not a curated record